Zophobas morio is the source of this 1440-nucleotide long non-coding RNA. RefSeq lists it as uncharacterized. Lineage: Eukaryota; Metazoa; Arthropoda; Insecta; Coleoptera; Tenebrionidae. The record is from RefSeq and is a predicted model, not a curated record. The transcript is spliced from 5 exons.
GAACCACUCCCUAGUGUAAAUUUUCAAAAUUUGUUUGGUGUAAGUGACCUUGACGGGUUUCUGGGGGAAAACAUAUGUGUCAAAAAUUUGACAGGUUAGAUGGCCCCAUUGUCAGUGUAGAAAUUUUAUUUUAAUAAAUAGAUGAACAGAACAUACAGUCUGCACGGGACACAGUGCAACAAAUUGAAGGCAUAGCUGAGGGCAACCGAAAUAUUCGUAUUGUGCUAGUUUCGAUCACGUUUCAAUCGCCAUGUCAACCCGGAAACGCAUUUAGAGCAAUAGUUUUGAAUCAUUUUGCCAUGUGUUUGCAAGGUGCCAGCAUUAUCUAGUUCUGAGUAUUGUUGCUGCUUUAAUUUAACGCCAUGAAGUGUUGUGCUGUGCCGUUUUGUUACAAUAAGAAGAAACAACGCAAAGAAAAUGUACAGUUUUUCAGAAUAACACAUAUGCGACAGGAGUCGUGGUUGAAAGCAUUGAAAAAGAAUUCCCAAGAUACACUGUAUAGAGAUGCUAGUAUUUGCUCUGAUCUUUUUUGCUAGAUGGUUUUGUAUGUAUCAAUGGUAAACAUAACAAACUCUCAAGGUUGGAGCUAUUCCAACCGUUAGAUUGAGACCCUGCCCAAUGAAGAACUUGUUUUUACACAGUGAUAAAUCUUCGUCAUUGAAGUUUAGUAUCCUACAUAGUUCAAGUGAACAGUGUUUAUUAACAGAAAGAUGAUGAAGUCACAAACAUUGCAACUGAAAUAAGGAAAGCUGACAGUGAUUAUGGAAUUGAACACGUUUCUGAAGUAAGGCCUCAUCCAUCAACAACAGAUAGUGAAGGGUUAACAGGUACUCACAAAAAAAGAAGAAAACUAAUGCAUAUGGACCACAAGUACAGUUUAUCACCUAGAAAGUUAAAAUCACCUAAAAAGUCAAAAGUGUUAGUUUCUAAACUACAUAGCCAUUGGAAAAUUGAAAAAGCUCGAAUGUGGAGGCUUAGAAGAAAAGUCAAAAAUUUAAAAGAUGAUUUAAAGUUUCUACAUGGUCUGUUUUAGGUACUGCAGACUGUUCUUCCCUGUUGGAGAGAUUUAGUUCAUAGUGUUCAUUGGGUAGUAUAUGUAGUCAUACAAUAAUAUAUUUAGGCUUUCAUUAAACAAAUUAUGGCCUUUUUCACCAGACUUUUAAGAUUGACAAACACAUAUGGCGGGGAGAUGGAGCUUUUUGGAACAUUAAGGAAUUCAUUUAAGAAAAACCUUAGUGAAUUAAAUCUAUUGUAAUUAUUGUUAUUUUGUUAUUUAAUUAGCAUUAUAGUUUUGAAUUAAAUUUUUCUCUAAAGGGGUUAUCCCGUAAAUAAAUAAGCUGGAAGUGUAUGAGUCAUCACCAGUACGUGGGAUUCUAUCUCACCGCUGAAAUCCCCUAGUUGAAGGAAGGUGUGUUUUACGGAGAGUAGCGGGGAUGCUUU